Molecule: unclassified non-coding RNA, 108 nt
Organism: Rhinopithecus bieti (black snub-nosed monkey)
Lineage: Eukaryota; Metazoa; Chordata; Mammalia; Primates; Cercopithecidae
Rfam family: Y RNA
About the family: Y RNAs are components of the Ro ribonucleoprotein particle (Ro RNP), in association with Ro60 and La proteins. The Y RNAs and Ro60 and La proteins are well conserved, but the function of the Ro RNP is not known. In humans the RNA component can be one of four small RNAs -- hY1, hY3, hY4 and hY5.
Source: Ensembl
GGCUGGUCCAAAGGUACCAAGUUAUCUCAACUGAUUAUUCACAGUUAUAGAUUGAACUCCUGUUCUACUCUUUCCCCUCUUUUCACUACUGCACUUGAAUUGUCUUAA